UGAGGAAGUAUUGCACAAUAGGAGGAAACGUACUCGAUGCAGCAACGCCGCGUGGAGGAUGACGCAUUUCGGUGUGUAAACUCCUUUUAUGAGUCAAGAAAAUGACGGUAGCUCAUGAAUAAGCACCGGCUAACUCCGUGCCAGCAGCCGCGGUAAUACGGAGGGUGCAAGCGUUAUUCGGAAUCACUGGGCGUAAAGGACGCGUAGGCGGGAAGCCAAGUCUGAUGUGAAAUCCUAUGGCUUAACCAUAGAACUGCAUUGGAAACUGGUUACCUAGAGUAUGGGAGGGGGAGAUGGAAUUAGUGGUGUAGGGGUAAAAUCCGUAGAUAUCACUAGGAAUACCGAAAGCGAAGGCGAUCUCCUGGAACAAUACUGACGCUAAGGCGUGAAAGCGUGGGGAGCAAACG
Molecule: ribosomal RNA, 407 nt
Filed under: uncultured bacterium
Lineage: Bacteria
Description: bacterial SSU rRNA
Rfam family: Bacterial small subunit ribosomal RNA
Source: RNAcentral